This is a long non-coding RNA of Triticum dicoccoides, 558 nucleotides long. RefSeq lists it as uncharacterized. Lineage: Eukaryota; Viridiplantae; Streptophyta; Magnoliopsida; Poales; Poaceae. The transcript has 2 exons. The record is from RefSeq and is a predicted model, not a curated record.
UCCUCCGCAAAGGCAGCCGUCGUGACCACUCUGGCAAGCGGCAGAUCCGAUCUGAUAAAUUGCUAGAUGUGCGCCGCCACCGUUGCCUGCACCACCGGUUCAACAAGGCUGCACGUCGGCGACCUUCCUCGUCUCUCGUUCCCAUAUCGCAUGGCCACAAUGCAUGUCUCCCAAGAAAGGCCAACAAUCCUGCUGCACUAUCUAUUGAUUUGUCACCGUCUUACUUCCUCCACGACUCAGAUGCUUCGGGCUGUCAGGGAAUACAACAUCAAGGACGACAUGGCAAACAAGAUCGAGGGGUUUGGGCAAGGGCACCCCAGCUUCUACCCGCCCGCGUCAUGGAUCACACCUUCAAUCACGAUGCCUAGGUCACAUUUGAAUUAGCGAAAUUCGACGUAUGGAAGCAGUUUGACUUUACUUGGCAGUAGAACUUCCUCUCUCUUUGUAAACUAACCAAGAAUUAGUAUGAACCAUGUGUAAUUAUGAUGAAAUAUGUUUCUCUUUAAUGGAAGGAAAAUAACAUUUUAUUGGGAGCAAUUCUCUAGUCCAUGGAGAUAA